GGGUGAUAGUUCUGUGUGAAUCCUGCAGGUAAUCCUGUCACACACUUUGGGUCAGUAGGAGGACGUAACAUCGUAUUCCUAGAUCGUCGUAAACGAUAACCGACCGUUAUUUUUAUAUAUGUGCAUGUUGUCACAAAGUAACAGACAUGAGCGGGAAGUUGCUAGCUACGAAAUAGGGUCUGAUUGAAUUUGUCAGUGAACGCAUCGGAGUCGCACGUGGGACAGAAGCUACUCUGCAAGCCACCGACGCAGAGCGAGACAGAGUCGCUCGCGACUUUGAGCGUCGUUACUGAAACACAGGAAGAGGCGUUAAAACGGAUGUUUGGCAAUGACCCAUGCGGUGAACGCGGCCACACACGCUUCACUUUUAUCCCCUCGCCUUUAACUUGAACAUUUCAGCCACACAUCAGAGCUUUACGCUUCAGCCGCCGUGUUUGGAUUAUUGUGCGCGCUGUUGGCAGUUUGUCAGAGUGCAGCGAGCGUUUGAGGAAACAUGGGAACUCAGGGCACCGGACGGAAAAGAUCGACCAAGAAGGAGAGGACGACGGCGGAGGACGAUGCCCUGGAUUUAAUAGCCAGAGAGGCCGAGGCCAGGCUGGCAGCGAAGAGGGCAGCCAGGGCAGAAGCCAGAGAGAUCCGGAUGAAGGAGCUGGAGAGACAACAGAAGGAGAUCUUUCAGGUUCAGAAGAAAUACUAUGACUUGAAUCCAAAGCCAGAUGAUGUUGCUGACAGAAAAUGGGGAGAUAUUGAACAAUGGAUGGAGGACAGUGAGAGAUACUCACGUUCUUCACGGAUGCGCACGCUUUCAGACGAUGAUGAGCGGAUGUCUGUGGGAAGCCGGAGCAGUGUCAGGAGCUCCUCCUCACAUAAGAAGUCAAAGAAAAAGAAGAAGCAUAAGCACAAAGACAGAGAUAGAAAUGGCUAUGAUGAUGAUGAUGAUGAUGAUUACAGUGUCCUGUCCAGCCGGAGCUCCAGACUCAGUGAGGACAGCCGGCUUUCUCAUGCGUCCAGAUUAGACCUGCAGCCGGCUUCCUAUGCUUCCUCUGACUUGUACGGCCUUAAUGGUCUGUCCUCCUCCAGACACGCAGGUUCAACUCUCAAUGGUUACCAGCUCUACAGGUCAACCACUCAAUUCAGCCAGCAGCUUUGUUAUGGGAGCUCCUUAUACGAUGACGGUCUCGGAUCACGGCGAGUCACUGGCUCCAGCUCCCAUCCUUUAGAGUACACUAAUUAUGUCAGCAGCAGCUCCAGAGCUUCCAGCAGGGCCAGUUCUGCCCGUGCCAGCCCAGUGGAAAACUGCGGCUCGGUUGCCAGUUUUCUGAGAAGCACAGCCAGUAGCGGUGUCCUCCCCCGGGACCUGGAUGAUGUUACUAUUCCUGACUUUUCAGAUGUGGACGACAAAGAAUAUCUUGAGAAGGGAUCUAGAGCAGCAUCUGCCCUGACAGCAGCCACGCUCUCCUCUGUCGGCGGGACGUCCUCACGCAGAGGAAGUGGAGAGACGGCCGGAACUGUGGACGCUGACACUUCAAUACGUGAAAUCAAGGAGAUUCAUGAACUGAAGGAUCAGAUUCAGGAUGUGGAAACCAAAUACACACAAAAUCUAAAAGAAGCGAAGGAGGCAUUAGCAGAGGUGGAGGAGAAGUACCGUAAAGCCAUGGUGUCCAAUGCCCAGCUGGAUAACGAGAAAACCAACCUGAUCUACCAGGUGGACACACUAAAGGACUCGCUCAUGGAGCUGGAAGAACUGCUGUCCGAGUCACGUCGGGAGUUUGAGGAGAAAGUGAAGGAGUGUGAGCGAGAGAAGUAUGGCCACAGCGUGCUUCAGUUCCAGUUUAAUGAACUGAAGGAGACGCUCAAACAAAGUGAGGAGCUCCUAAAUGAGAGCCGCCAGCUGCGUAUGAAACAGGAUGGUUUUGUUAGAGAAAUAUCUGAUCUUCAGGAGACACUGGAGUGGAAGGAUAAAAAAAUUGGGGCCUUAGAGCGACAGAAAGAAUACACAGAUGCAAUCAGAGUUGAGCGUGAUGAGCUCAGAGAAGAGGUGGUGAAGCUGAAAGACGUUCUGAAGAAACAUGGCAUAGUGCUGGGACCUGAUCUGACUGUGAACGGGGACAUCGGUGAGGCAGAGGUUGACGGGCUCCCCAGCGGAGACGCCGCCCCCACCCCGGCUCAGGUUUCCCAGACCUCUCCAGUGGAGGGCAAGAGCAUGCUUGGCAAUGCAGAGGAGAAUCAGUUGAGAAGUAGCAUAAAGGAAGAGGUGCAACAAGAGCAGCAUCAAGAAUCGUGGACAGAGGAAUCCAAACAGAAUAACCUGAGCUCUGAUGCACUUUGUAGUCUUGCUGGCGUGUCCUCACUAAAAACAUCUAGUGAAACACCAUCUACAAAAUCAGAAUCAAAAAACCAACAGAUAACUUCACCCACAGAUGCAAACACUGAAGAAAGCAAGGACUUGAAUAUUGGCCCAGUCAGAGAAGCCAAAGAUAAAAUCAUUUGCAGCCCUGAGCUUGAAGAAAUUGUACGUGCUGAGGAAAAUAUUCCAGAAAAAGAAACCUUAGGAAGUGAUUUAAAAGAGAUAAAUAAUCCAUAUGUAGAGGAGGAAAACAAAAGUGCUGAUGAUACAGAGGCAGUUCAAGCACAGGAAGAUAGGAAAGAGGCUGUUGAAGAAAGUGAUUUAAAGAAUAAAUUAAUGGAUCAUCAGCAGAAUGCAAAAGGUUCACUUAAUGAGUCUGCCCCAGCACCGUCAAAUGCAGAGUCUCAACAAGAAAUGGAAAAUGUCUGUGAAGAAGAAAACAGUGAGACGGAGGAACUUGCCAGUAAAACACUCUCGAAGUCUCAAGAUGCUACGACCUCGGGUAAGAAGAAGAAGAGGAAGAGAAGAGGAAAAAAGAAAGGCAGUACUCAAGAGGAUAAGAGCCAACAAAAAGAUGAAGUACAGAAAGAAGACAAAGCAAGAAUAGAUGUAGAACUGGAUAAAGGAGGUAAUGGCUCAACAAAACAAUGUAAAGUUGAUUCUGCCAACAAAGGCCUUAAGGACCAGAAGCUGGGUCAGUCUAAGACUGAGCAAACGGCAGAAACACAGCAAGCUACUGAACCAAAAAUGGAUCACACAGAUCAAACUUUGGAAACAAGGACAUUAGAGGGCACAGAGGAAGUGUCACUCACUGAAACCCAAGCUCAUACUCACUCUCCCCAAGAAACAAGAACACGUCCCUUAAAGAACGAACAGGACGAUAAAGAACUUGCGGAGUCAAAAGGAAUAGACAGAGUUCAAUCUGCAGUAAGAGACCAGUGUCCAGAGACCAUCAGCACACAUGACUUCUGUGAAAGUCCUGAAGCCUCUAGCAUUAACCAAGCUGGGAAUGAGCAGCAGGAGCAGGAAAGGGAGGGGUUGACAGAAGCAGAAACAGUGGAUUCCACUGGAUGCAAAGAUGAUGAAACGACAAUGACAAAUGAUCAAAGUUUAAAGCCUGAGACAGUCGAGGAAGUAGAGGUAGCAGCAGCCACAGAGACCUCGGUCCAUGCAGAGAGAACGGUCAUUACCCCCUGUGGAGUGUCAAAGGAUGAGCAGGAUGAAGAACAAAAUGUGAAGAGAGACACCGUAGAAACCCUGGAGGACUCCCUCAGCAUGUCUAGCCUCUUUGUCUCCUCUGAGAUGAUAGGGAGUGGAGCUAGCCCUGACAAAGAAUCUCCUUCCAGUCUAAAUACCUGUAAUAAUGGGGAAGCUGAGCCAGGACGAGCGGAGAUAAAACCUGCAUGUAUAACCAGCAACACAGAAACCAAACCUGUAACAAACAGCACGGAAAGCACUGACAGGAAAUGUAGAGAUCCAAGCAGUGGUGAUGCUCCAGCUGAUGAGUUGGAGUUCACGCAUUCUCAAACAGUCGGCCUUGAAGGCUCUGAGUUACCAUUAGAGUCGUCUGUAGCCAUCAGUGAUUCUGCUAGAGAAUGUGAGGAGGCAGCUGAGACGGUCAAAGAGCAGGAAAUGAAAAUUGAACAAGAAUGGUGCCUUUAUAGUCAUGAUGAUCGGAAUCCAGAGAUAGAAGAUAGAAUGGAGAAGAGGCCUGAGGAUGCAGCAUGUCACCGUUGUAACGCUGAAGAAGAAGAGGAAGCUGUAGCUGAAAUAGAAAGUCAGACAGCGUCUGAUGAGUCUAAUGUGUGGUCGUCUCCAGAAACAGAUGGCCUCAUUGCAGCAAAUCCCACAGACUCCCCCAGAGAAGAAGCUCAUCUCGAGCAGGAAUCAAGUCUUGUAAUAGAGUCUCAACAAAAAAAUUGCAGAAAUGACGGGGACUGUGAGACGACGUGGCCUUUAAAUGAGCUGCUGCAUUCUACAGAUUCAUCUCAGCCCAUUGAGCAGGACGGUGACGGAGGCUGCUGUGAAGAUGAGGAGGGCCAGUCCUUUGAUUUUGAUGACAUGGAUGUAGAAACAGCUGUAGCAUCACAUGUGUCUAGGGAUCUAGAUCAGGAAGAAGCUGAGGAUGCAGUUGAGGUUGUGGCAGAUGAAAGUCACAGUGUUGUUUCAGUGUCGGGCCGCAGUUAUUCUGAACCAGAUGAGAACACGCAGGAGAAGCCAGUUAAAGCCAGAGACGAGAAGCAUGAAGCUGAAGUAGGUCCACAGGAAAAAAACUUACAUGAUUUGACUGAAGGCAUCACAAACUCUUUGCCUCAGGAGACCAAACCUGAAAAGAAGGAAAAUGUGGCAGAUGAGGAAGGAAAAGUUAUUAAUGAUGUAAAUGCACAGAACAUGAAGCAAGCAGCAUCUGUCUCUGCAGAUGAAGCAUCAGAUGCUAUUAGACAUGAGAUGCAGAAGGACGCUUUAGUUUUACCAAAGAGUGAUGAUCAAGGGGAGGUCAGUAGGGAGCUACUGCAGGCAGGGAAAGACGGGAAGAAGAGCAGCAAGAAAGGCAAAGGAAAGAGCAAAGAGGAGUGUAAAAUGUCCUAAGAUGUCCCAGUCCCCAGUUGAAAGCAGCAUGUCACUGAUGUAUGUAACUUCUCUUUGCUUUGUCGGUUACACAAUUAAAGUAUGUGCAAAGCUUCACAGCACCUGGAUGAUUUUCAAAAUGAGCUUUGGUGUCGGGGGGAAACGUCUGUAUUAACAUUCCACUUCAGUUUUCUCUGGGACUGUUUAUGUGUUGGGGGUCGUGGGAAUGAAGAUGUCACCUAGCGCUGGGUAACACAGGCCUCUGUGUUUGGCAGCAGUGCAGUAUUGUUGAACCUGCAUAUUUACAUGCUGCUUGUGAUGGUUGAGGGAAGGUACAGGUUCUGUGACGUUAUCAGAUGCUUUGUAACAUCCAAUCCAAAAAACAACAAAAAUCAAAAACAAACCAAACUGGUCAAUUUUAUUGAGACUCCAACAUACUUUUACAUGUUUUCUCUCAAUCUUUUUAAAGUGAGACCAAUGUGCAGAUGAGUUAAUGACCUUAAUUUUUUUAAGCGCAUCUUGGCCGUUCUGAUCACAAGUGGACAGCACUUAUUGUAACAUGGAAACUCCUGACGUGUUGAACUGAUAUCUGAAAUCGGAAAUGAUGGUGUGGAAGCACUUUGAUGCAAAAAUACAACACUGUCUGGUGCACGUGUGCCAGAAUCUGCAAACAUCUGUCACGGUAGGCAGAGGUUCAGUACAGCAACCCAUACGUUCUCCACCCUGUGAUCAGGUCGACAAAGACACGCAUUCAUGACAGUUGUAUAUGUCUCAAUAAAUGCUUCUUGUUGCACUUAAUACAGUAGAAAAGAUGAAUGUGUCAAUAAAUACUAUUUUGUUACCACUGAGACUAAAGGAACUUUGAAUUUCUUGCAAACGUGACGACUCAGCAGGACGGCUCCAGCCUCCGUGUUGACGUAGCACAUUAACAUCCGCAUCAGCAUGUUGUCUGUGUACUGGUGUGCGUUGACCCUCCUCUCCACAGUACGUGCAUGUUAACACUCACCCCUCACACUCCUCACCCCCGUGGAUGUCUGCCCCGUUGCAUGCACCCACCAUGACCCAGCCCCCUUCCACCAGCUAGUUGUUUCCUCUCACUCUGAGAUUCGUCUGAGGAAGCUGGUGGAUGAACGGGAAAAAAUGAUAGAGCAGGU
Molecule: RNA transcript, 6069 nt
Organism: Betta splendens (Siamese fighting fish)
Lineage: Eukaryota; Metazoa; Chordata; Actinopteri; Anabantiformes; Osphronemidae
Gene: lrrfip1a
Gene name: leucine rich repeat (in FLII) interacting protein 1a
Exons: 24
Source: RefSeq, a predicted model, not a curated record